This is a long non-coding RNA of Xiphophorus hellerii (green swordtail), 671 nucleotides long. RefSeq lists it as uncharacterized. The transcript is spliced from 3 exons. NCBI's taxonomy places the organism in Eukaryota, Metazoa, Chordata, Actinopteri, Cyprinodontiformes, Poeciliidae. The record is from RefSeq and is a predicted model, not a curated record.
GAGACAGCACUAUUCUGCCUUAUUUAACUGUGUAAAAAGUGAACCCUAUGGUUUUGUAAACAUUGCUAAGAGUGAUGCAGUUAUAAUAACUCCUAGUGAAGUCCAGCAGGUUAUAUCGUACUUGUGUGAGAAUGAGGCAACAGGUUCUGAUAGCAUUACAGCAGAACAUCUGAAAUAAGUGGCUGUGCUGCUUGCAAUGUGUUUCUCUGGGUUUAUGACCCAUGGGCAGUUGCCUAAUUCCUUAUCAUCUGUUACUCUUGUGCCGGUAAUUAAGGACAAAACUAGUAAGGUUAUUAGCCUUAAUAACUACAGACCAAUAGCUUUAGUUAAAGUGAUAUAUAAAGUAUUAGAAAAAUAUCUUGCUUGGUAGGCUCAAUCAGUUUAUUAUUACAACAGAUAAUCAAUUUGGUUUCAAAGCCAAGUUGGGAACUGAUCUCUGUAUUUAUGGCCAGAAAGAGCAUAUCUAAGAAAAAAUUAAUCUUUGUUAUUUGGUUUAUUGAUGCCUCUAAGGCCUUUCAUCGUGUCAAUCACUGCAAGUUAUCUGACAAAUUAAAACAGAGAGGUGUUCCAGAUAUUAUUAUACGAAUUUUGGUUUACUGGUAUUCUAACCAGAAAAUGCAUGUAAAAUGGGGCAAUAACAUCUCUGCUUCCUUUGGUGCCCUAACACUUAC